This 434-nucleotide ribosomal RNA is filed under the name uncultured fungus. RNAcentral's name for it is "eukaryotic LSU rRNA". It matches the Rfam family "Eukaryotic large subunit ribosomal RNA", at positions 1 to 432 of the family's 3401-position model. Lineage: Eukaryota; Fungi. The record is from RNAcentral.
GACCUCGGAUCAGGUAGGGAUACCCGCUGAACUUAAGCAUAUCAAUAAGCGGAGGAAAAGAAACCAACAGGGAUUGCCUCAGUAACGGCGAGUGAAGCGGCAACAGCUCAAAUUUGAAAUCUGGCUUCUUCGGAGCCCGAGUUGUAAUUUGUAGAGGAUGCUUCGGGUUUGGCCCCGGCCUAAGUUCCUUGGAACAGGACGUCACAGAGGGUGAGAAUCCCGUAUGUGGCUGGAGGUCUAUGCCCAUGUGAAGCUCCUUCGACGAGUCGAGUUGUUUGGGAAUGCAGCUCAAAAUGGGUGGUAAAUUUCAUCUAAAGCUAAAUACUGGCGGGAGACCGAUAGCGCACAAGUAGAGUGAUCGAAAGAUGAAAAGCACUUUGGAAAGAGAGUUAAAAAGUACGUGAAAUUGUUGAAAGGGAAGCGCUUGCAACCAG